This 585-nucleotide ribosomal RNA is filed under the name uncultured bacterium. RNAcentral describes it as "bacterial SSU rRNA". It matches the Rfam family "Bacterial small subunit ribosomal RNA", at positions 338 to 916 of the family's 1533-position model. The record is from RNAcentral.
CCUACGGGAGGCAGCAGUGGGGAAUUUUGGACAAUGGGCGAAAGCCUGAUCCAGCAAUGCCGCGUGAGUGAAGAAGGCCUUCGGGUUGUAAAGCUCUUUUGUCAGGGAAGAAACGGUGUGGGCUAAUAUCCCGCACUAAUGACGGUACCUGAAGAAUAAGCACCGGCUAACUACGUGCCAGCAGCCGCGGUAAUACGUAGGGUGCAAGCGUUAAUCGGAAUUACUGGGCGUAAAGCGUGCGCAGGCGGUUUUGUAAGUUUGUCGUGAAAGCCCCGGGCUCAACCUGGGAAUUGCGAUGAAGACUGCAAGGCUUGAAUCUGGCAGAGGGGGGUAGAAUUCCACGUGUAGCAGUGAAAUGCGUAGAGAUGUGGAGGAACACCGAUGGCGAAGGCAGCCCCCUGGGUCAAGAUUGACGCUCAUGCACGAAAGCGUGGGGAGCAAACAGGAUUAGAUACCCUGGUAGUCCACGCCCUAAACGAUGUCUACUAGUUGUCGGGUUUUAAUUAACUUGGUAACGCAGCUAACGCGUGAAGUAGACCGCCUGGGGAGUACGGUCGCAAGAUUAAAACUCAAAUGAAUUGACGG